This is a long non-coding RNA of Lates calcarifer (barramundi perch), 184 nucleotides long. RefSeq lists it as uncharacterized. The record is from RefSeq and is a predicted model, not a curated record. The transcript is spliced from 2 exons. NCBI's taxonomy places the organism in Eukaryota, Metazoa, Chordata, Actinopteri, Centropomidae.
ACGGUGAUACAAUCCCAUAGAGCCGUCGUACAAAAACCUCCUCCCAUUGACAACCAUUGUGAAGACGGCUACAUGUAACUCAGGAAACCUGUUACAGCAGAAAACAUCAGUAUUCUAGGAGACCGUCAGUGUGACACUGGAACUGAAGCUUACUUUGGAAAAGGAACAAAACUCACUGUUUUAG